CUGGAUUAAACAAUUUUUAUUUUUUAAAAAGGUUCUUAAAAAAAUACUUAGAUUAUUUAAACAAACAAACAAAAAAUAAUAAUUCUUAAGACAUUACAAAAAAUAUUUGGUGCAGGAAACAACAAAAGUACAUGUAAACUUUUCUUUGAGUCAUGUGACAAUAUUUUGUUUUUCCAAAACUAUUAGCAUAUAAAGAGUUUUGCGGAACAUAUUUAAUAAGUAUUGACUGAAACUUUAUACAACUCAAGGCAACAGUUGAACACCUUUAGUAAUCUGUAAGCAAACUUAAAUGAGCGAACUCACUGUCUGGUCUUGUUCUAACUAAUCAAGGCACUGUUUCUGUGAAGUGAAGAUGUAGGACUCGCGCAAUACUGCACUCACGUCUGACAUAUCUCUACCUGAAAUAGGGCGGUUUGUUGACAGGGGCGUGGUAGGGGGCAAGAGCUAAGUUCGAAUGUUCGUAUUCGAGUGAGUUCGCGUGUGUGUAUAAGUGGUUGUUUGAUCAGGAGAAAAUAUUUGUCCUUUGACUCAGACUUGAGUCCCGGCCCCCAUGACAGUUAACUUUAGCUCAUAGAAAACAUAUAAGUUAAUAACAUAAGCAGUGGCGUAGCAAGGUAUCAGUGGGCCCGGGUUCAAGAAUAUAAUAUGUUAGUGCCCUCCCCCCCCCCCCA
Non-coding RNA from Biomphalaria pfeifferi, 671 nucleotides. The record is from the annotation of a GenBank genome assembly. Lineage: Eukaryota; Metazoa; Mollusca; Gastropoda; Planorbidae.